CCUACGGGAGGCAGCAGUGGGGAAUCUUGCGCAAUGGGCGAAAGCCUGACGCAGCGACGCCGCGUGGGGGAUGAAGGCCUUCGGGUUGUAAACCCCUUUCAGCGGGGACGAAGCCUGUUUUGCAGGUGACGGUACCCGCAGAAGAAGCACCGGCUAACUACGUGCCAGCAGCCGCGGUAAUACGUAGGGUGCAAGCGUUGUCCGGAAUUAUUGGGCGUAAAGAGCUCGUAGGCGGUCUGUCGCGUCUGCUGUGAAAUCCUGGGGCUCAACCCCGGGCCUGCAGUGGAUACGGGCAGACUAGAGUCCGGUAGGGGAAAGUGGAAUUCCCGGUGUAGCGGUGAAAUGCGCAGAUAUCGGGAGGAACACCAGUGGCGAAGGCGGCUUUCUGGGCCGGAACUGACGCUGAGGAGCGAAAGCGUGGGGAGCGAACAGGAUUAGAUACCCUGGUAGUCCACGCCGUAAACGUUGGGCGCUAGGUGUGGGGCCUUUCCAUGGGUUCCGUGCCGUAGCUAACGCAUUAAGCGCCCCGCCUGGGGAGUACGGCCGCAAGGCUAAAACUCAAAGGAAUUGACGGGGGCCCGCACAAGCGGCGGAGCAUGUUGCUUAAUUCGGCGCAACGCGAAGAACCUUAC
This 632-nucleotide ribosomal RNA is filed under the name uncultured Actinomycetes bacterium. RNAcentral's name for it is "bacterial SSU rRNA". It matches the Rfam family "Bacterial small subunit ribosomal RNA", at positions 338 to 974 of the family's 1533-position model. The record is from RNAcentral. Lineage: Bacteria; Bacillati; Actinomycetota; Actinomycetes.